Molecule: ribosomal RNA, 1500 nt
Filed under: uncultured bacterium
Lineage: Bacteria
Description: bacterial SSU rRNA
Rfam family: Bacterial small subunit ribosomal RNA
Source: RNAcentral
AGAGUUUGAUCCUGGCUCAGAUUGAACGCUGGCGGUAUGCUUAACACAUGCAAGUCGAACGGAAACGAUACUAGCUUGCUAGUAGGCGUCGAGUGGCGGACGGGUGAGUAACGCGUAGGAAUCUACCUGAUAGUGGGGGAUAGCCCGAAGAAAUUCGGAUUAAUACCGCAUAAUCUAUUCGUAGUAAAGUGGGGGACUUUCGAGCCUCACGCUAUCAGAUGAGCCUGCGUAAGAUUAGCUAGUUGGUAGGGUAAAAGCCUACCAAGGCUACGAUCUUUAGCUGGUCUGAGAGGAUGAUCAGCCACAUCGGGACUGAGACACGGCCCGAACUCCUACGGGAGGCAGCAGUGGGGAAUAUUGGACAAUGGGGGCAACCCUGAUCCAGCAAUACCGCGUGUGUGAAGAAGGCCUGAGGGUUGUAAAGCACUUUCAAUUGUGAAGAAAAGUUAACGGUUAAUAACCGUUAGCCUUGACGUUAACUUUAGAAGAAGCACCGGCUAACUCCGUGCCAGCAGCCGCGGUAAUACGGAGGGUGCAAGCGUUAAUCGGAAUUACUGGGCGUAAAGCGUGCGUAGGCGGUUUAUUAAGUCAGAUGUGAAAGCCCCGGGCUUAACCUGGGAACUGCAUUUGAAACUGGUCAACUAGAGUAUGGUAGAGGAAGUGGAAUUUCUGGUGUAGCGGUGAAAUGCGUAGAUAUCAGAAGGAACAUCAAUGGCGAAGGCAGCUUUCUGGACCAAUACUGACGCUGAGGUACGAAAGCGUGGGUAGCAAACAGGAUUAGAUACCCUGGUAGUCCACGCCGUAAACGAUGAUAACUAGCCGUUGGGGGGAUUUACCCUUUAGUGGCGAAGCUAACGCGUUAAGUUAUCCGCCUGGGGAGUACGGCCGCAAGGUUAAAACUCAAAGGAAUUGACGGGGACCCGCACAAGCGGUGGAGCAUGUGGUUUAAUUCGAUGCAACGCGAAGAACCUUACCUGGUCUUGACAUCCUGCGAACUUUCUAGAAAUAGAUUGGUGCCUUCGGGAACGCAGUGACAGGUGCUGCAUGGCUGUCGUCAGCUCGUGUCGUGAGAUGUUGGGUUAAGUCCCGUAACGAGCGCAACCCCUAUCCUUAUUUGCCAGCACGUCAUGGUGGGAACUAUAAGGAGACUGCCGGUGAUAAACCGGAGGAAGGCGGGGACGACGUCAAGUCAUCAUGGCCCUUACGACCAGGGCUACACACGUGCUACAAUGGGAAGGACAAAGAGCCGCGAAGCCGCGAGGUGUAGCUAAUCUCAGAAACCUUUUCGUAGUCCGGAUUGGAGUCUGCAACUCGACUCCAUGAAGUCGGAAUCGCUAGUAAUCGUAGAUCAGAAUGCUACGGUGAAUACGUUCCCGGGUCUUGUACACACCGCCCGUCAUACCAUGGGAGUGGGUUGCACCAGAAGUGGCUAGUCUAACUUAGUGAGGACGGUCACCACGGUGUGAUUCAUGACUGGGGUAAAGUCGUAACAAGGUAACC